UACGUAGGGUGCGAGCGUUGUCCGGAAUUACUGGGCGUAAAGAGCUCGUAGGUGGUUUGUCGCGUUGUUCGUGAAAACCGGGGGCUUAACCCUCGGCGUGCGGGCGAUACGGGCAGACUUGAGUACUGCAGGGGAGACUGGAAUUCCUGGUGUAGCGGUGGAAUGCGCAGACAUCAGGAGGAACACCGGUGGCGAAGGCGGGUCUCUGGGCAGUAACUGACGCUGAGGAGCGAAAGCGUGGGGAGCGAUCAGG
RNAcentral lists this ribosomal RNA (253 nucleotides) under uncultured bacterium. RNAcentral describes it as "partial 16S ribosomal RNA". It matches the Rfam family "Bacterial small subunit ribosomal RNA", at positions 524 to 776 of the family's 1533-position model. The record is from RNAcentral.